ACAUUGAUUAUGCAGUGCCACGGAUGUC
RNAcentral lists this small RNA (28 nucleotides) under Bombyx mori (domestic silkworm). Its description in RNAcentral is "ovarian small RNA-11189". The record is from RNAcentral. Lineage: Eukaryota; Metazoa; Arthropoda; Insecta; Lepidoptera; Bombycidae.